GACGUAGGGCGCGAGCGUUGUCCGGAAUUAUUGGGCGUAAAGAGCUCGUAGGCGGACUGUCACGUCUGCUGUGAAAAGCUAGGGCUUAACCCUGGCCUUGCAGUGGAUACGGGCAGACUAGAGGUAGGUAGGGGAGAAUGGAAUUCCCGGUGUAGCGGUGAAAUGCGCAGAUAUCGGGAGGAACACCGGUGGCGAAGGCGGUUCUCUGGGCCUUACCUGACGCUGAGGAGCGAAAGCGUGGGGAGCGAACAGG
Molecule: ribosomal RNA, 253 nt
Filed under: uncultured bacterium
Lineage: Bacteria
Description: partial 16S ribosomal RNA
Rfam family: Bacterial small subunit ribosomal RNA
Source: RNAcentral